Molecule: ribosomal RNA, 780 nt
Filed under: uncultured bacterium
Lineage: Bacteria
Description: bacterial SSU rRNA
Rfam family: Bacterial small subunit ribosomal RNA
Source: RNAcentral
UGAAGGGAGCUUGCUCUCUGAUUCAGCGGCGGACGGGUGAGUAAUGCCUAGGAAUCUGCCUGAUAGUGGGGGACAACGUUUCGAAAGGAACGCUAAUACCGCAUACGUCCUACGGGAGAAAGCAGGGGACCUUCGGGCCUUGCGCUAUCAGAUGAGCCUAGGUCGGAUUAGCUAGUUGGUGAGGUAACGGCUCACCAAGGCGACGAUCCGUAACUGGUCUGAGAGGAUGAUCAGUCACACUGGAACUGAGACACGGUCCAGACUCCUACGGGAGGCAGCAGUGGGGAAUAUUGGACAAUGGGCGAAAGCCUGAUCCAGCCAUGCCGCGUGUGUGAAGAAGGUCUUCGGAUCGUAAAGCACUUUAAGUUGGGAGGAAGGGCAUUAACCUAAUACGUUAGUGUUUUGACGUUACCGACAGAAUAAGCACCGGCUAACUUCGUGCCAGCAGCCGCGGUAAUACGAAGGGUGCAAGCGUUAAUCGGAAUUACUGGGCGUAAAGCGCGCGUAGGUGGUUUGUUAAGUUGAAUGUGAAAGCCCCGGGCUCAACCUGGGAACUGCAUCCAAAACUGGCAAGCUAGAGUAUGGCAGAGGGUGGUGGAAUUUCCUGUGUAGCGGUGAAAUGCGUAGAUAUAGGAAGGAACACCAGUGGCGAAGGCGACCACCUGGGCUAAUACUGACACUGAGGUGCGAAAGCGUGGGGAGCAAACAGGAUUAGAUACCCUGGUAGUCCACGCCGUAAACGAUGUCGACUAGCCGUUGGGAUCCUUGAGAUCUUAGUGG